AGCGUACACGGUGGAUGCCCUGGCAGUCAGAGGCGAUGAAGGACGUGCUAAUCUGCGAUAAGCGUCGGUAAGGUGAUAUGAACCGUUAUAACCGGCGAUUUCCGAAUGGGGAAACCCAGUGUGUUUCGACACACUAUCAUUAACUGAAUCCAUAGGUUAAUGAGGCGAACCGGGGGAACUGAAACAUCUAAGUACCCCGAGGAAAAGAAAUCAACCGAGAUUCCCCCAGUAGCGGCGAGCGAACGGGGAGSAGCCCAGAGCCUGAAUCAGUGUGUGUGUUAGUGGAAGCGUCUGGAAAGGCGCGCGAUACAGGGUGACAGCCCCGUACACAAAAAUGCACAURYUGUGAGCUCGAUGAGUAGGGCGGGACACGUGGUAUCCUGUCUGAAUAUGGGGGGACCAUCCUCCAAGGCUAAAUACUCCUGACUGACCGAUAGUGAACCAGUACCGUGAGGGAAAGGCGAAAAGAACCCCGGCGAGGGGAGUGAAAAAGAACCUGAAACCGUGUACGUACAAGCAGUGGGAGCAYGCUUAGGCGUGUGACUGCGUACCUUUUGUAUAAUGGGUCAGCGACUUAUAUUCUGUAGCAAGGUUAACCGAAUAGGGGAGCCGAAGGGAAACCGAGUCUUAACUGGGCGUUAAGUUGCAGGGUAUAGACCCGAAACCCGGUGAUCUAGCCAUGGGCAGGUUGAAGGUUGGGUAACACUAACUGGAGGACCGAACCGACUAAUGUUGAAAAAUUAGCGGAUGACUUGUGGCUGGGGGUGAAAGGCCAAUCAAACCGGGAGAUAGCUGGUUCUCCCCGAAAGCUAUUUAGGUAGCGCCUCGUGAAUUCAUCUCCGGGGGUAGAGCACUGUUUCGGCAAGGGGGUCAUCCCGACUUACCAACCCGAUGCAAACUGCGAAUACCGGAGAAUGUUAUCACGGGAGACACACGGCGGGUGCUAACGUCCGUCGUGAAGAGGGAAACAACCCAGACCGCCAGCUAAGGUCCCAAAGUCAUGGUUAAGUGGGAAACGAUGUGGGAAGGCCCAGACAGCCAGGAUGUUGGCUUAGAAGCAGCCAUCAUUUAAAGAAAGCGUAAUAGCUCACUGGUCGAGUCGGCCUGCGCGGAAGAUGUAACGGGGCUAAACCAUGCACCGAAGCUGCGGCAGCGACGCUUAUGCGUUGUUGGGUAGGGGAGCGUUCUGUAAGCCUGUGAAGGUGUGCUGUGAGGCAUGCUGGAGGUAUCAGAAGUGCGAAUGCUGACAUAAGUAACGAUAAAGCGGGUGAAAAGCCCGCUCGCCGGAAGACCAAGGGUUCCUGUCCAACGUUAAUCGGGGCAGGGUGAGUCGACCCCUAAGGYGAGGCCGAAAGGCGUAGUCGAUGGGAAACAGGUUAAUAUUCCUGUACUUGGUGUUACUGCGAAGGGGGGACGGAGAAGGCUAUGUUGGCCGGGCGACGGUUGUCCCGGUUUAAGCGUGUAGGCUGGUUUUCCAGGCAAAUCCGGAAAAUCAAGGCUGAGGCGUGAUGACGAGGCACUACGGUGCUGAAGCAACAAAUGCCCUGCUUCCAGGAAAAGCCUCUAAGCAUCAGGUAACAUCAAAUCGUACCCCAAACCGACACAGGUGGUCAGGUAGAGAAUACCAAGGCGCUUGAGAGAACUCGGGUGAAGGAACUAGGCAAAAUGGUGCCGUAACUUCGGGAGAAGGCACGCUGAUAUGUAGGUGAAGCGACUUGCUCGUGGAGCUGAAAUCAGUCGAAGAUACCAGCUGGCUGCAACUGUUUAUUAAAAACACAGCACUGUGCAAACACGAAAGUGGACGUAUACGGUGUGACGCCUGCCCGGUGCCGGAAGGUUAAUUGAUGGGGUCAGCGCAAGCGAAGCUCUUGAUCGAAGCCCCGGUAAACGGCGGCCGUAACUAUAACGGUCCUAAGGUAGCGAAAUUCCUUGUCGGGUAAGUUCCGACCUGCACGAAUGGCGUAAUGAUGGCCAGGCUGUCUCCACCCGAGACUCAGUGAAAUUGAACUCGCUGUGAAGAUGCAGUGUACCCGCGGCAAGACGGAAAGACCCCGUGAACCUUUACUAUAGCUUGACA
This 2077-nucleotide ribosomal RNA is filed under the name Escherichia coli. RNAcentral's name for it is "bacterial LSU rRNA". The record is from RNAcentral. Lineage: Bacteria; Pseudomonadati; Pseudomonadota; Gammaproteobacteria; Enterobacterales; Enterobacteriaceae.